UCUAUCACCUCAUAACAGAGGCAGAUUUCCUGCUCUUGUGGAGGAGCCCAUAUGUGGGAUUCGGCCUUGACAUUUUGAUAAACGAAGGGUAUAUAAUGGGCUUGGAAGGUUACGUACCCGCUUAGCCAAUGCUGAAUAGAGGCCCCAUAUUGGUGGAAUCCAUAUGGCCUUAAAUAUGCCUGGCUAGUGACAUAUAGGCAAACAGCUCGU
RNAcentral lists this unclassified non-coding RNA (210 nucleotides) under Hevea brasiliensis (rubber tree). Lineage: Eukaryota; Viridiplantae; Streptophyta; Magnoliopsida; Malpighiales; Euphorbiaceae. The record is from RNAcentral.